This 253-nucleotide ribosomal RNA is filed under the name uncultured bacterium. RNAcentral describes it as "partial 16S ribosomal RNA". It matches the Rfam family "Bacterial small subunit ribosomal RNA", at positions 524 to 776 of the family's 1533-position model. The record is from RNAcentral.
GACGAACCGUGCGAACGUUGUUCGGAAUCACUGGGCUUAAAGGGCGCGUAGGCGGGUUUGCAAGUCAGGGGUGAAAUCUUUCAGCUUAACUGGAAAACAGCCCCUGAUACUGCGAGUCUCGAGGGAGGUAGGGGCAUGUGGAACUUCCGGUGGAGCGGUGAAAUGCGUAGAUAUCGGAAGGAACGCCGGUGGCGAAAGCGACGUGCUGGACCUCUUCUGACGCUGAGGCGCGAAAGCCAGGGGAGCAAACGGG